RNAcentral lists this ribosomal RNA (257 nucleotides) under uncultured bacterium. Its description in RNAcentral is "partial 16S ribosomal RNA". It matches the Rfam family "Archaeal small subunit ribosomal RNA", at positions 474 to 727 of the family's 1478-position model. The record is from RNAcentral.
UACCAGCACCCCCGAGUGGUCGGGACGUUUAUUGGGCCUAAAGCAUCCGUAGCCGGUUCUACAAGUCUUCCCGUUAAAUCCAACUGCUUAACAGGUGGGCUGCGGAAGAUACUAUAGAGCUAGGAGGCGGGGAGAGGCAAGCGGUACUCGAUGGGUAGGGGGUAAAAUCCGUUGAUCCAUUGAAGACCACCAGUGGCGAAGGCGGCUUGCCAGAACGCGCUCGACGGUGAGGGAUGAAAGCUGGGGGAGCAAACCGG